GACGAACGCUGGCGGCGUGCUUAACACAUGCAAGUCGAACGAAGAGCGAUGGACGCUUGCUUCUAUCAAUCUUAGUGGCGACCGGGUGAGUAACGCGUAAUCAACCUGCCCUUCAGAGGGGGACAACAGUUGGAAACGACUGCUAAUACCGCAUACGAUCUAAUCUCGGCAUCGAGGAUAGAUGAAAGGUGGCCUCUACAUGUAAGCUAUCACUGAAGGAGGGGAUUGCGUCUGAUUAGCUAGUUGGAGGGGUAACGGCCCACCAAGGCGAUGAUCAGUAGCCGGUCUGAGAGGAUGAACGGCCACAUUGGGACUGAGACACGGCCCAGACUCCUACGGGAGGCAGCAGUGGGGAAUCUUCCGCAAUGGACGAAAGUCUGACGGAGCAACGCCGCGUGAGCGAUGACGGCCUUCGGGUUGUAAAGCUCUGUUAAUCGGGACGAAAGGCCUUCUUGCGAAUAGUGAGAAGGAUUGACGGUACCGGAAUAGAAAGCCACGGCUAACUACGUG
RNAcentral lists this ribosomal RNA (510 nucleotides) under uncultured bacterium. Its description in RNAcentral is "partial 16S ribosomal RNA". It matches the Rfam family "Bacterial small subunit ribosomal RNA", at positions 28 to 507 of the family's 1533-position model. The record is from RNAcentral.